This 486-nucleotide ribosomal RNA is filed under the name uncultured bacterium. RNAcentral's name for it is "bacterial SSU rRNA". It matches the Rfam family "Bacterial small subunit ribosomal RNA", at positions 28 to 511 of the family's 1533-position model. The record is from RNAcentral.
GACGAACGUUGGCGGCGUGCUUAAUACAUGCAAGUCAACUGAAGCACCGGUAGUAAUACUGGUGUGGAGGUGGCGCACGGGUGAGUAACACGUAGGUAAUCUGCCUUCAGGUCUGACAUAACCCCGAGAAAUCGGGGCUAAUAGCAGAUGAUGCAGCGGCUUGACAUCAAGACAGUUGUUAAAGCUUCGGCGCCUGAAGAUGAGCCUGCGUCUGAUUAGCUAGUUGGCGGAGUAAUAGCCCACCAAGGCGACGAUCAGUAGCUGGUCUGAGAGGAUGAUCAGCCACACUGGAACUGAGACACGGUCCAGACUCCUACGGGAGGCAGCAGUAAGGAAUAUUGCUCAAUGGGAGAAAUCCUGAAAGCAGCAACGCCGCGUGAGGGAUGAAGGGCUUUUGCUCGUAAACCUCUGUAGUGAGGGAAAAAUUUCCAUUCUAUGGAAUAUAAUGGUACCUCAAAAGUAAAGCCCCGGCUAACUACGUGCCAG